Molecule: long non-coding RNA, 2099 nt
Organism: Gadus macrocephalus (Pacific cod)
Lineage: Eukaryota; Metazoa; Chordata; Actinopteri; Gadiformes; Gadidae
Exons: 2
Source: RefSeq, a predicted model, not a curated record
UCUGAAUGUGAAUAUUUGUGGCCUUGGGGAUUGAGCCUAGAGUCUUGAGAAAAAAAUAAUAAUCUGAUCCAGAGAUAGAGGAUGACCGAGGGGUCAGCGAACCUUUAAUGGCCAAUGGAGAGUUGUGUAACAGACACACUGACCGUCCUUAUUCUAAUUCUGAAAGGGGAUCAACCAUAAAUACCAAAGAACUGUGAUUAAAUAGAUAGCAAAAUAAUGCUUCCAAAAGUACAGACCUUGUAUACUCGUAACCCCUAAAAUAGCCUAUAUUAAGGAAGCAGAAUAACUCUGUUCUUCCAACAGAGUUAUUACCGGUAUAUACAUUAUGGGAAAUAAGACGCUGGAGGAUACUACAACCUUCGCACUUUUCUUUUCAGAGCUGAUAAACAAUUACAGUUCACAUCGGGUGACCCAAGUCUCAACUCUUCAACUUGUAAGAUGAUAUCAGUUGCAUCUUCAAACGUGGAAAACCUUUCUGCGACAGAAACCAGUCUACCAAACAAAGAUGUGUUCAAGCGGUUAGCCAACCUGAGGUAGUGUGAUAAGAGGAAAAGAGAAGCAUGUGACCAGAGGAACCAAUGGGGUCAACAUGAUUCAGUUACCAUCUGAAAUGUACUCGAGGAGCUGUAUCUAGCAUUAAAACGUCUGAGUAACAGCAGUGAUAAGGAAACUGUCAAGUCAUUCUACCUUGAUAAGAGUUUGGAGACCGUUUAAUAGAUAAUUCAAACGGAUGCAUUGACGGAGACAUUGGUUAAAUAAAUUUCUCCUACAAAUUUUGGACAACAAAAGGCCAAGGGAACUAGAAAGUGUUUCCAAAAUACAAACAAUAUGAAGCAGAAACAAAAGGCUCAGAUAAAAAAAAUGUACAACGAGUGGGACAACCUAAGAAAAGGUUUGAACCGACUUUUAUUAACCCAAACAUAACUGACAAACUGAAAUAAAAUGGAAAGAGAACCGCACAGGUAUUGCUUGUAUAUUUUAUUUUCUAUGUACAGUACAUGUAAAAAAAAAAACGACAACGAAACAACUCAGAAUGGCCAAUAGCAUUGACCCAACGGCGGCAAUGUUAAACGGCCAUGUAGCUCACACACGUGAAUAUCCUGAUGACCGUUUUGCCUCUCUAUCAUACCGUAAGAGGGAUAACGGGUUAAGGGUGCAAGGAGGAGAGGGAUGGGGGGCGAGGCCCCCUGAGGCAAUGGGCAGCCCUGGGAAAAAAACCUAGCUAGCCAAGCCACUGGAACAGCACCACAGGACGGUCAGUCAGCUAGCGUUCACACAUCUCGUCCCCAUCUCCACUUGCUUAAAAAAAAUAAAAAAAUCCAAAAUAGAAUUAUCUCGGGAGGCGGGGCGUAAAGGGCCAACAGAAAUAAAGUAGGAAGGCUGGCUGAUUGUGUGCAAUAUUCAGUUUUUCCUUGUACUUCUGAAAGCCAGACUGCAUUGUGAGGGCUGUGCUAGGACCGGCCCUGCUCUCUGCCUCAACCAGUCAUCCACUCACCACCCCUCCCCCGCCACUCAUCAGUUCCAUGACUGUUGCUUUUAAGCCAAAGGUCACCGAAGGACAGCCUUUGCAGUCUUACCCCUUGCAGGGGCUCAAUAAGUACAGGCGGAAAUAAGCCAGUAUCGAGCACAUCCCCCCCCGACCAAUACAUCUCUCUCUCUCGCCCUCGCUCUGCACGCUAGGCAGUUGAAUUCACAGUAUUCCACAACAACAUGUUGUCCUAUAGGCAUUCAUCUAAAACUUUUAACGGGGGAUGCAUAGGGGGCUGUGACACAUUGCCUGUCCCGAGUUUCAAUCUCCCAACAGCACUGAGAAAAUUUACUUGGAGGAUUUUGUAGUGUGGGUGUACGUGUGUGUGUGUGUGUGUGUGCACGUGUGUGUGUGUACGUGUGUGUGUGUGUGUGUGUGUGUGUGCGCGUGUGUGUGUGUACGUGUGUGUGUGUGUGUGUGUACGUGUGUGUGUGUGUGUGUGUGUCAGACAGACAGACAGACGGGAGACACAAGAAGGAGAGACAUGCCACCCAAGUCUAGAAUACAGUGUACACAACCAACCGCCAACAGUUGUCUGGUCUACGAUCUACUAUCCCAUUAUUCAAAACAA